RNAcentral lists this ribosomal RNA (443 nucleotides) under uncultured bacterium. Its description in RNAcentral is "bacterial SSU rRNA". It matches the Rfam family "Bacterial small subunit ribosomal RNA", at positions 195 to 632 of the family's 1533-position model. The record is from RNAcentral.
GGGGAUCGAAAGACCUUAUGCUUUUGGAGCGGCCGAUGUCUGAUUAGCUAGUUGGUAGGGUAAUGGCUUACCAAGGCGACGAUCAGUAGUUGGUCUGAGAGGACAGACCAGCCACACUGGGACUGAGACACGGCCCAGACUCCUACGGGAGGCAGCAGUGGGGAAUUUUGGACAAUGGGCGCAAGCCUGAUCCAGCAAUGCCGCGUGAGUGAAGAAGGCCUUCGGGUUGUAAAGCUCUUUCAGUUGAAAAGAAAAAGCCGUGACUAAUAAUCAUGGUUCAUGACGGUAUCAACAGAAGAAGCACCGGCUAACUACGUGCCAGCAGCCGCGGUAAUACGUAGGGUGCAAGCGUUAAUCGGAAUUACUGGGCGUAAAGGGUGCGCAGGCGGUUCUGUAAGUCAGAUGUGAAAUCCCCGGGCUUAACCUGGGAACUGCGUUUGAAA